This is a long non-coding RNA of Suricata suricatta (meerkat), 427 nucleotides long. RefSeq lists it as uncharacterized. Lineage: Eukaryota; Metazoa; Chordata; Mammalia; Carnivora; Herpestidae. The transcript is spliced from 2 exons. The record is from RefSeq and is a predicted model, not a curated record.
UGAAAUCAAGAGUCAGAUGCUUAAAUAGACUGAGCCAUUCAGGUUUUGUUCAACAAAAUAACGUCUGACAGGAAAAGUAUCUUCUCUGCAUUUUGACACUCCACUUAGUGACUGAGAGCUGACUCGAGCCAGGAUACCUAAAUUUGAAUCCCGCCGCCUCCUUUCGCGUGACUUUGAGAAAGUUACUUACCUUAGUUUUCUCCUAUAAAAUGUAAAUAACGGUAAUACCUACCUUACUAGAUUGUUUUGAGAAUUGAAGACUGCAUGAAUUAGCACACAUGUAAGACUGAGAACACUUAAGCACUACUGUUUAGUCUAUUUUGGAAGCUCCUCUAAUAGAAGUGGCUUUUAAAAAAUUAUGUAUUUUUAGUUAUGGGGUAAAGCACUCUUAACUGUUCUCAAUAAACACUUUGUAAGGAAAAGUUAA